AGAGUUUGAUCUUGGCUCAGGACGAACGCUGGCGGCGCGCCUAACACAUGCAAGUCGAACGAGCGAGAGAGAGCUUGCUUUCUUGAGCGAGUGGCGAACGGGUGAGUAACGCGUGAGGAACCUGCCUCAAAGAGGGGGACAACAGUUGGAAACGACUGCUAAUACCGCAUAAGCCCACGGUGCCGCAUGGCACAGAGGGAAAAGGAGCAAUCCGCUUUGAGAUGGCCUCGCGUCCGAUUAGCUAGUUGGUGAGGUAAUGGCCCACCAAGGCGACGAUCGGUAGCCGGACUGAGAGGUUGAACGGCCACAUUGGGACUGAGACACGGCCCAGACUCUUACGGGAGGCAGCAGUGGGGAAUAUUGCACAAUGGGGGAAACCCUGAUGCAGCGACGCCGCGUGGAGGAAGAAGGUCUUCGGAUUGUAAACUCCUGUUGUUGGGGAAGAUAAUGACGGUACCCAACAAGGAAGUGACGGCUAACUACGUGCCAGCAGCCGCGGUAAAACGUAGGUCACAAGCGUUGUCCGGAAUUACUGGGUGUAAAGGGAGCGCAGGCGGGAAGACAAGUUGGAAGUGAAAUCUAUGGGCUCAACCCAUAAACUGCUUUCAAAACUGUUUUUCUUGAGUAGUGCAGAGGUAGGCGGAAUUCCCGGUGUAGCGGUGGAAUGCGUAGAUAUCGGGAGGAACACCAGUGGCGAAGGCGGCCUACUGGGCACCAACUGACGCUGAGGCUCGAAAGUGUGGGUAGCAAACAGGAUUAGAUACCCUGGUAGUCCACACCGUAAACGAUGAUUACUAGGUGUUGGAGGAUUGACCCCCUCAGUGCCGCAGUUAACACAAUAAGUAAUCCACCUGGGGAGUACGACCGCAAGGUUGAAACUCAAAGGAAUUGACGGGGGCCCGCACAAGCAGUGGAGUAUGUGGUUUAAUUUGACGCAACGCGAAGAACCUUACCAAGUCUUGACAUCCCUUGACAGACAUAGAAAUAUGUUUUCUCUUCGGAGCAAGGAGACAGGUGGUGCAUGGUUGUCGUCAGCUCGUGUCGUGAGAUGUUGGGUUAAGUCCCGCAACGAGCGCAACCCUUAUGGUCAGUUACUACGCAAGAGGACUCUGGCCAGACUGCCGUUGACAAAACGGAGGAAGGUGGGGAGGACGUCAAAUCAUCAUGCCCCUUAUGACUUGGGCUACACACGUACUACAAUGGCGUUAAACAAAGAGAAGCAAGACCGCGAGGUGGAGCAAAACUCAGAAACAACGUCCCAGAUCGGACUGCAGGCUGCAACUCGCCUGCACGAAGUCGGAAUUGCUAGUAAUCGUGGAUCAGCAUGCCACGGUGAAUAAAAGGCCGGGCCUUGUACU
This 1358-nucleotide ribosomal RNA is filed under the name uncultured bacterium. RNAcentral's name for it is "bacterial SSU rRNA". It matches the Rfam family "Bacterial small subunit ribosomal RNA". The record is from RNAcentral.